GGCGCUUGUUUGUUCUGGCGUGGCCAUUCCGGCUAUCUUGGGGCUGCAAGUAGAUGGUAUAGACACUUCAGACUGCAAGUAGAUGGUAUAGACACUUCAGACUGCAAGUAGAUGGUAUCGACACUUCAGAUCAGAUCGAUAAACGCAACGGAACAUAGAGACUUGGCGACUAAAAGAGAGUAGCUGUCAAAUGAAAGAAGACGACACUCAGAAAUUGUAUGAUAUGGAGAAGCCUCCAGGCACUUUUAUUUUAGUUCACAAGAAAAUGGCUAACAC
RNAcentral lists this long non-coding RNA (276 nucleotides) under Hordeum vulgare. RNAcentral describes it as "long non-coding RNA (HVUL_LNC002325)". Lineage: Eukaryota; Viridiplantae; Streptophyta; Magnoliopsida; Poales; Poaceae. The record is from RNAcentral.